CCUACGGGAGGCAGCAGUGGGGGAUAUUGCACAAUGGGGGCAACCCUGAUGCAGCGACGCCGCGUGGGCGAAGAAGUAUUUCGGUAUGUAAAGCCCUAUCAGCAGGGAAGAAGAAAUGACGGUACAUGAGUAAGAAGCACCAGCUAAAUACGUGCCAGCAGCCGCGGUAAUACGUAUGGUGCAAGCGUUAUCCGGAUUUACUGGGUGUAAAGGGAGCGCAGGCGGCGCGGCAAAGCUGAUGUGAAAGCCCCUGGCCCAACCGGGGGACUGCAUUUGGAACUACCGGGCUGGAGUGCCGGAGAGGUAGGCGGAAUUCCUAGUGUAGCGGUGAAAUGCGUAGAUAUUAGGAGGAACACCAGUGGCGAAGGCGGCCUCCUGGACGGUGACUGACGCUGAGGCUCGAAAGCGUGGGGAGCAAACAGGAUUAGAUACCCUAGUAGUC
RNAcentral lists this ribosomal RNA (442 nucleotides) under uncultured bacterium. Its description in RNAcentral is "partial 16S ribosomal RNA". It matches the Rfam family "Bacterial small subunit ribosomal RNA", at positions 338 to 795 of the family's 1533-position model. The record is from RNAcentral.